Molecule: ribosomal RNA, 253 nt
Filed under: uncultured bacterium
Lineage: Bacteria
Description: partial 16S ribosomal RNA
Rfam family: Bacterial small subunit ribosomal RNA
Source: RNAcentral
UACGAAGGGGGCUAGCGUUGCUCGGAUUCACUGGGCGUAAAGGGCGCGUAGGCGGUUUGCAUAGUCAGACGUGAAAUUCCUGGGCUUAACCUGGGGGCUGCGUUUGAUACAUGCAGGCUUGAGUUCGGAAGAGGGUCGUGGAAUUCCCAGUGUAGAGGUGAAAUUCGUAGAUAUUGGGAAGAACACCGGUGGCGAAGGCGGCGACCUGGUCCGAUACUGACGCUGAGGCGCGAAAGCGUGGGGAGCAAACAGG